This 422-nucleotide ribosomal RNA is filed under the name uncultured bacterium. RNAcentral's name for it is "bacterial SSU rRNA". It matches the Rfam family "Bacterial small subunit ribosomal RNA", at positions 359 to 773 of the family's 1533-position model. The record is from RNAcentral.
GAAUUUUGGACAAUGGGGGCAACCCUGAUCCAGCCAUGCCGCGUGCGGGAAGAAGGCCUUCGGGUUGUAAACCGCUUUUGUCAGGGAAGAAACGCUCUGGGCUAAUACCCCGGGGUAAUGACGGUACCUGAAGAAUAAGCACCGGCUAACUACGUGCCAGCAGCCGCGGUAAUACGUAGGGUGCAAGCGUUAAUCGGAAUUACUGGGCGUAAAGCGUGCGCAGGCGGUCGUGCAAGACAGAUGUGAAAUCCCCGGGCUUAACCUGGGAACUGCAUUUGUGACUGCACGGCUGGAGUGCGGCAGAGGGGGAUGGAAUUCCGCGUGUAGCAGUGAAAUGCGUAGAUAUCUGGAGGAACACCGGUGGCGAAGGCGGCAUCCUGGACCAAUACUGACACUGAGGAGCGAAAGCCAGGGGAGCAAAC